Magallana angulata is the source of this 2205-nucleotide long non-coding RNA. RefSeq lists it as uncharacterized. NCBI's taxonomy places the organism in Eukaryota, Metazoa, Mollusca, Bivalvia, Ostreida, Ostreidae. The record is from RefSeq and is a predicted model, not a curated record. The transcript is spliced from 8 exons.
UUGUCUGUCUGUCUGUCUGUGUUCACGAGAGAAUAUUUAUUGGGUUCAAUUUAUGUCAUUGGAACACUUAUUGGGUACUUUUGACUUAUUGGGUAUACCCAAUAAUCCAAUUGCUUUCAUUGUGUUCCAGAGACAUUUACUGGGUAUUGGAUAACACAAACCCAAUAAAUGUUUGUCUGAGAUUUGUCUAUAAAAUCUAGUCCAUCUAAUGGACUUUACUGUUUGUUGAAAUCAAAUUCUUUCGGAAUGCCUUUGGUUUUAUCAUCAACAAUGAAGAAUUCAGAAGAGUUCCAAACAACUAUGACAUGUGAUAAGAUUAUCCAAUCAGAAAGUAGCAAUGGCUACUGAAACAGAUGCUUGAUGAACAUAUCACCUGGAACUAGAGAAAACUCAUUCAAGGCCUUAUUGCUAUCUGGAUAAGAAUAAUCAUGUGAUGAUGACCCUUUUGAUUUAGCAGAAUCAUGUGAUGACGACCCUUUUGAUUUAGCAGAAUCAUGUGAUGAUGACCCUUUUGAUUUAGCAGAAUCAUGUGAUGAUGACCCUUUUGAUUUAGCAGAAUCAUGUGAUGAUGACCCUUUUGAUUUAGCACCUGGAAGUAGAAGUCAAGCCUGGAUGAGCUUUAUAAUGAAUCACAUGAUGAUGAUGAUGAUCAGAGCUAUACUGACAUCAGGACAAAGAGCAAAAGUGGAUCGAGGCCUGGAUUCACAGUUUAAAGAUUGAAAGUUUUUGUGAACAGAAUUUAGGUUAGCAGCAUAGAAAAAUCACUGCAUGCAGACCUUUCAACUCUGGAAAAGAAACCUUGGACACGCAAGACCUUGUUGAGGCCAGGGGCAAGAAAUAGCAAGCAGUCUACCUGACCUACAACUGUGAAAUUCACUACAUUGCAUUUUCAAUACAGACACAUUUUGCCGGAAAACGAAUCUGACUUCACAUUACGAAAUUUUAACAAGAGAGAGGCAAUUUGAUGAGCUUUCAUUCAAGAGGUCCCUCGUUGCUGAAUGAAAAUUAAGGCUUUGGAGCUAUGAACUUGAACGUUAACAUUACCGCCUAUGGAAAUGCAUUAGUGGACUAUACCAAUAUUGAACUCCAUGCUGAUACCUUGUAUAUUGAAUUGGAACUUCAUCAAAGAUUAAAGCACAACAAUGAGGCACACUAGAUAGACUUUCAGUACAGACUUCACACCAUAAAAUUUUAACAGGAAAGAGGCAAUUUGAUGAGCUUUCAUUCAAGAGGUCCCUCGUUGCUGAACGAAAAAUAGGGCCGGAGCUAUGAACCGGAAUGUUUACAAUACCGCCUAUGGAAAAUGCAUCAGUGGACUAUACUCAGGCGUUUCAUGUGGAUAGUAAGCAACAAGAGUAAAAUGGUCAAACAAGAGGAAAAGGAAGUAAGGGAAUAUUUUUCAGACUGUUGCACAUCAAAUACACUCCCAUGAAUGAAAAUGUGCCCAAGACUUACAGAAUGUAACUAAAAGUGCAGAAGAAUAUUGUGGAAAAGGAUAUAUGGGAGACCAUAAAGAAAAAAUAUGGAAUGACCUUAAGAGAGUUAAAAAGUAAUAAAUUUGCUAAGAUUUGCACUUUUGAUUGAGUUAUGUCUUAGUGUACAUAUAACUUUGAUGAAAUUGUUAAUAAUAUAUGUGUGUGUUCAUAGAAAAGAACAUCACGCAUAUUCAUUGUAAUACCAGUAAAUAUUGUAUUGAAAUUGUUGAUCAUGUUAAGAUUUUCAAAGUUUAUGAUGAGUUAAGGUAUGUGAAUUGUAAUUCCACACAUACAAAAAUCUUUGUCACUGUUUUAAAAAAAAAACCCCGAAAUGUACCAGUAUGUGGAUAUGAACAUUUUUUGAAUAUUUUUGGAUGUGUAUUUUUAUGAGUCAGCCAAUAACUGUUGAAUAUUUAAACUUUCUCUGCAUUUUUGUAUGCGAGCUGAAUAUUAUGCCAGUUUUAAGGUUUAUGGAAUGGUCUGUUUGAUCUUCUUAACCAUACAUGUAAGAUGUCUGACAAUCUUUCUGCAAGAUUUGAUAAAUGUGUACAUGCAUAUGCAUUUGUGUAUAUUACAUAUUUGAUGAUAAUUGUUGAAAUUGUUGAUAAUGUUGAGAUUUUCAAAGUUUAUGACAGUUAUGUAAAUUGAUUAAUUUUGAGUUUAUGAUCAUAAAUUGUUGUUUAAAGUUCCUUUAAGUUGUUGUUUUUCACUUUCCUUAAUAAAAUAUUAA